Cephus cinctus (wheat stem sawfly) is the source of this 5480-nucleotide long non-coding RNA. RefSeq lists it as uncharacterized. Lineage: Eukaryota; Metazoa; Arthropoda; Insecta; Hymenoptera; Cephidae. The transcript has 3 exons. The record is from RefSeq and is a predicted model, not a curated record.
UGCAGACGUGCGGUCAAAUCUCUGCGAUCACGGUGAGGUCAGCCGAACGCGUUAAAGAAUCAGAAUAUUGUUCGUGGACACGGUCGCAGCUGCUGUUUCUUCGUGUUAAAAGUAAUAUUCUCGCAUUCAGCUUGGUGAAACUUGGGGCGUCUCGAGAGUGUGCCGCUACUGAUUACGGGUAGCGACGCUGAAAGUGUUCUGCGCUCUGAAGCUUAGAUAAUACGAUCGUGGCAGAGAUGGCGCCACUGUUCUGUUUAAAAGGUACGAUGCGCGCGCAUCGAGCUCCAUGUCUCACGCGUUGGAACUUUGCGGCAAGUACUUUAACCAAGGGAAACGCGCUGCUCGAACUUUAAAAGACUAGCGGCCCAAUUGCGAGAGACACAUGAUCGAUAAUAAUCGCUCUCUCGAAUUCUACUUCGCUUCUUGUCGCGCGUAUGAUGCACCACAUGAUCUCGUGACCCGAGAAAAUGAGGUCAUUCAAGAAAGUUCAAAAAGCGGCUCAAGGGUCUAUCUAACAGGAGUACGAAAUAUAAUUCAUAGUGCAUUACAGUUGUCUGACGAAGGCUACAGUGUGGUAAUACAGUGCGCACUUUAGUGGAAUAAUUAUGUGAACACUGUUUUCGACAAGCUCUUUGCCGAGCAGUCCCUACUUACUUUAUGUCAGUGAUAUGCUCGUAUGAAAUUUAAAUAAGAACAAGUUGACUGAUCUGCAAGCUUCUGACUGUAAAUUUGCUGCGUCAUUCUUGACACGUCACAAAGCCAUUGUUCAAUAAGUUUAUACUUGAUUUUAUUCCACUUCUUUAUUUUUUUUGUCUCUUAGUUACUUAGUAGUCUACCGAGAACAUAUAUACUGCUCGAUUUGAAGCAAAAGCCAUCCAAAAAUGAAAUCCAAUAAACUGUCUUGCACGGUCGGUACACUGAUGACGUAUGGUAUAUAUAACACGUUUCUAUAGUUCUGGCAUAUGCAAUAUGCCAGAGCCUAAUGCAAUCUUUGUCUAUCCGAGGAACGAUUGGCCCAGAAUAUCUAGUAACGGCAUUACAUUGGCAAAUGUCCGUCAAGAAAAUGAGAGACACCGUCGUAACAGCACAAAUAAUGUGAAAUAGCGGAAAAAGAAGCCUGAAAUAAAAAUGGAACGUGGCUGAUCAUGAAGGGAUGAAGAAUAAAUCAAUCACGAUGCAAAGCCCGACUCCAGUUUUAUCCGUGGAAUCUUGUUACGAGACACCGAGGCUGACAAGGUCGUUUCGAAGGGCGAGUUGGCGCGAACGCAGCUGGUUCUUAAAGAGACGAGAAACGCCUGGGUCGACACUUGGUCUACCUAUCUGCAUCAACGUCCCAUUGACCAAACGUUUACGUAUCUGGGAUGUUUGCCCACUGCCUCUCCGGUAGGAACGAACGCUACCUGUGCAUCCUUAGGAACGUGUCUGACGGUCCUGUUUAUCUCGCUCUCUCGUUCCUUCGCUCCUCGUAGAGAUAGAAAGAGUGCCGACAGAGGGUGCGUCAGAGAAAGGAAAUAAGAGGGCCAGCAGGGAGAGAUCGAAAAUUAAAGCGGAUCCAACGAACGAUACGGCGGAUGAACACGGGCUGCCGUGGAAAGGAGCUGCCACGGAGGUGGUGGUGGCAUCGCACGAUGAGCGCAGGCGUCGGCAUCGUAGUGCGCGCACUCGUAGCUCCCAAUAGUCGAGAAGACUUCACACGGGCCAAUCCUCGCAUCACGCGCUUAAAGGUUCCUUUACACGAGUCGUGCCAAUGUGAUUCUUAGGUAAGAGCGUGUCUCCGCGUAUGCCGAGAUCUUGGUUACCGACCGGGCCACUUAAAAAUGCCACAGCUAACGCUUUAAAAUGCCUUUAAAAGUUUCAUGACAUGAUUCCGAAAAAAAAAAAAAUCUCCAAAAAUAUUACGCGAGUUUCGUGAAUUUAUCAUUGAGAUCGGACAUAAAAAUAAUAUCUAAAGGCGACCAUCCCGGGUUGGCUUCAUGCUGAGACGCCACGCUUGCUUACGCCCAUGUAAUAAACGCCGAGUCCUUCUUCCAUCCUUCGAGCUUGAUUCUCGGGGCUAACGGUAAAAUCUCUUCUCCUUCACGGAUUCCCUCAACUAAUGCGAAUGGAACUGCGAGUACGUGAGACGCCGCCGAGAUAAAACAUUACAGACCGGUAUUAAGUGAGCUUCGUAAGUCGUCGCUCUUUAAAACCCAGCCCGCUGACUCGGCUGACAAUGAGAGGCGCCUACCGAUCGUCACGACGGAUUUACUCGAAUCUUUCAAAACAUUCCUGCAAUCCUUUCCUUCCGCGUCGAGACAAACACUGGCCAUCGCUCCUCCGUGGCCGCUUAGUUUCGUCAUGUCGUAUACCUAAUCGACGUGAAAAGAAAAAAAAAAAAAUGGAAAAGGAAGGAAUGACGUAUAAAUCCCAUAGGGUCAAUAACCUCCAUUCUUUUCCAUCUGCCUGCCUUCUGUCCCGCUCUCGCGCCAUGUGCACGCGUACACGUGCGAGAGACAAGGUGUACGCACGGCGUUGCAUGCGACCACGUGCGCUACAGUUUCGUUCGACCCUACAGAGGCAUUUCGAUCGCCACACUGUACAGCACGGUAACGUCAGUCAGGAACGUUAACAGGGACUUUUACGAGAUCGAGAGAACAACCUUACCAAAGCGUUACUAGAUCGAUUCCUGCGGAGGACUAGAAUUAAACGUCGAUCAGGGUGUACCGGGGCUUCGAAAAAGGCACGGUCCCCUUUAUGUGGGACGUGGCGCUCUGGUUGUAUUACGGGCACGGUUAAGCAACCGCUGGUGAAACCCUACACUGACCGUGGAACACGUGGCUAAUAGAAUUGGCAGUGAAGAGACGGAGGACAAAUUGCUGGCUCGAACACAGUAGAAGAAACAAAUAGCGCAAGGAUAUAGGGCGACUCUGUCUUUAUCCUCGCAAUCUCUCUACAGAAGUAAAAACAUCCUUGAAAACUCUUUUAGGCCUAAUUUUUUUCACCUCCCCUGGACCGUUCCAACGCCAGCUCGAGUUUCCCUCGGAGAAUCACGAUAAGAGGCAGAUUUCGUACGACACCCAGACGUGAGUAACAACAUGCUUCAAAGUCCUUCUGGAGAGACGUAGAAAUUUUCACGUGUCUGAAACGUCAAUGAACACGUGUCCAUACACAGAAAAAAUUCUCAAGUCAUGUUGACUGGUUGAAAAAUAAUAAACAAGCAAAAGUGCAUUGUAUGCCACAGUACGACGUUCUUAAACCUUUACUCUGCAAGUUGGUAAGCCUGGCCAAGGUCCCUUCGAAGGCAGUGAUCUAAAACCGAUAUAUCACAAUAAAGAAAUACCAACUGCACAGAAUGAAUCUCCUUCCUCUAAAGAUACACUUGGUAAGCAUCCAAGAUACGAAUUCGCAAACAACGAAAUACAGGUUUGUUUACAGCAAGGGUGCAUCGGCACUUCCCCGUCGUCGGAAUAACCAGAGAAAUUUGGACAGUCACUGUGUCUUUUAAACCUCAACAAUAGAAUCGACAGCGUUGACUCGGUCCUCGAGCCCACCCGUCUCUGUUUACCGUCGGUAUUCCUGUCGCAUUAACAGCACCCGAUUUCCGACGGCUGCGCAUCUGUCGCAAUCUUGCGCGACAGCAAAUACGAUUGUCUUGCACAAGAUUCCCGAGUUCCAGCGAAAACAAUGAUUUUGCGAUUUUUCCCACAAAGACCGAUGGGCAAACCGUGCGAGUUGAACACCCUCACGCAAUCUUCCCAUAACCUAUGGGUUCCUCCCGGCUGGUACGAACUUUCGUGAUAAGUAAAUUGUCGAAUAUUCAUCAUGCGAAAUCGGUUGGUACGACUGUCGACUAGGAAUUCUCGGAACGUCCAGGUACUCCCUCUACUGGCUAAGCAAGUAAAUUUACAUGCUAAAGAAUCUCUAAUAAGCGCCAGCUACCGGACAGAGCGCCUACGUACACGUACUAUAGUAAAGUCAAUCUAGUUCCGUCCGCUAGUACCUUCUUUACGUCUAGGAAUAAAGCCGAAUCUUCACGAGAGUAUAGAGAGUAUGCGCGAAUACACGUGGCAUAGUGACUUUGACAGGAAGCCAAAAGACGAAGUGAAUGGGCGAGUUGUCUCCUCUUUUAUUUCUAAUUCUUCGCAGUACGACCGUUGCCAAUGCGCCUGACGGAUUUACGAUGAAAAUAACAAACGCCUCGUGUCCAGCUUCUGUUGUUAUUAACGGAACAUAGGGAUUUCUCGUAUCGUUACAAUAAUUAUAUUAAGGAACACUGCGCGUCGGGACCUGUCCGUAAGACGCAACAAUUAUACUCCCGUAUUACAUUCGAAAAGAAUCCCGUACGAUCGACAAUGACGAAUCAUCGUAAGAAAACUUCGCGUCGAACUUGAGCCGUGUAGGAAAAUCGAUAAACAAUGAAAAAGCUCUCGAAAUUUUCAACUGACACUGGCAACAGUAUUAAUUGCGCACAAAAUAAAUAUCUGGUUCACCUUCCCUCCGCCGCCACUCUCGCUAUUAAUUAAAGACAACGUUAUGGAAACGUUAGAAUAACACGAAUCCCAUUGUACAAAGAAAAUGGAGUCGUAAGCCUGAAAGGGCCGUCAUCCCGAAUGAGAAUUAGAAAAAUAUAAGUAAAAAUAUUGUCGUAUAUACGAAAGCGAGGAUAAAAACAAGUUACGAAAAUUUCAAUGCGCCCUAGAGAUUCGGCCGGGAUUAAAUUGGCUGGCGGUGAAAUUGUUAAAGCAAGAACAAUGGCUGAUCGAUAAUAAGGUAUACGCUCGUAAUUUUUAACGACAAUAAACCUUCACUCUUCCUCCUCCAUUCCUUUGUCCCUACGCACCAAGAGUUUCUGACUGAUCCACGUGCGGGUAAUAUAUGCGUAUGACUUUCCCACUCUUCGCGUUAAGAAUCUCCCUCUCUUCUCGUUCCGUUCACUCUUGUCUCGUCACGCUGCUGUCCCUCGACGAUUGACUCGGCCAACGCGAGCAGAGUGACGCACACGCGUUUCCCGAUUACAUAUCAGGGGCUCCUCGGUUUUUGUUUCCUAUACUAAGUUCUAAAGUUCAAGCGAAGCUACGACGGAAAAACGUUGCAAGAUUUCCAGGAGUUUGUCGGGGAGACGUUACGAAUGUAAACGCCGUCUGGACUGGCGGGAAGUAGCCAUAGCGUUGACGCGCAUGCGCAGUAACAUGAUCGACUGCUCCAACGGUAUUCUCAACCAAUUUACCUAAAUGCGACGCGAGGCACUGCGUGCACGCGAAAUUUCUUUUCCACGGUGAUUUCCCUCUAUAUUCUCCAAGUAUUUAGCUAUCGAUUUGUUUAAGAAGCAAUCGCUGUCCUACGUCUACGUGUCUACGUCUUAUACGAGAGCAAAUACACAGGACGAGUACUCUCAAUAAUACUUCGAUCGCGACAGAAGUCAAUGACGAAAAUCCACAGACUGAUGAUUCAAGUGAACCGGACUGUAUACUUGCAACUGUCAUAAGUUGCCGUGCAUUAAU